Molecule: transfer RNA, 65 nt
Filed under: Trigonopteryx hopei
Lineage: Eukaryota; Metazoa; Arthropoda; Insecta; Orthoptera; Trigonopterygidae
Description: tRNA-Asp
Source: RNAcentral
AAGAAAUUAGUUAAAAAAUCAACAUUUGAAUGUCAAUCUUAAAUUACUUUAAACAGUAUUUCUUU